This is a long non-coding RNA of Acanthaster planci (crown-of-thorns starfish), 1192 nucleotides long. The record is from RefSeq and is a predicted model, not a curated record. NCBI's taxonomy places the organism in Eukaryota, Metazoa, Echinodermata, Asteroidea, Valvatida, Acanthasteridae.
CCAGAGCACAAGCCGCUGAGUGAGCCGCUGUUCAUGGUACAUCCAACUUCUUGAGGAUGGGGUUCCUGUGCUCGUUGUUGAGGUGAUCGGACUUUGAUCUCUUGCUGCUGCCUGCUGGGUAAAUGCUGUAGCAUUGAUGAAGAGACAAGACCAAGUCCCUUGGAGACAGUUUUCUGGAGUUUAACACAUCACUGGCAAUUGGCAUUGCUGACAACACAGCUCACUCGGUAAGCACUUUAUAUUAUGUUCUGAUUUGAGCCCAACAAUGAAAGUCGUGUUCCAGAUUUUGAAACAAUAUUUGUACAUAAUUUUGUAUGCAUGUACAAUUGUUCUGUAAAAUCUGGAGCAUGGCUAAUCAGGCUCCACUCUUGAGGAUGACGAGAGCAUGCUGGAUGAAACGUCAAGCACACACUCUACAGUUCUUAUCAGAACCGUACCUCUUUCAAGGGAGAUCUAUCCACAUGAUGUAACCACAAGCCCUGUUUUUAUUCUCCACCAUGUAAAGCAUCAAGUCUUAUUUAAUGAAAGUGAAUACUUAGGGCAGUUAUGCUUCCUGGUUUCCCAUUUGUAAUUGGAUGGUUUUGAAGCAAAUUUGGCUCUAUAUAAGGCCUAAUCCAAACUAAGCUUUUGCCUGUGACUGUAGGGUUGGUGAAAAUCAACUGAUCUUGUUGUCAUUUUGUUGAACAUAUCCACUGAAGAAUGUUUCAUUCUGAUAUUCCUACAUUCAAGAGAACUAUACACAAACGAAGGAGAAAGCUUGGGUCAGUCAUUUGGUUUGCUAGUAAUCCUCUCCCUCUUGUACUUGUUAGUCAAUCUGUUAUAGUAGUUAGUUUGGCCUGUGUAUAUGACGAUAGUCUUCAAAUGGUCAAAAGGUUUACCUUGGUUAAUCGUGAUGGGUACCAUCUCUUCAAUUCUUAUUUAUUUGACCAUCACAAGAACAAGCAAAGCAAAAUUAAACAAAAUUUAUGUAAAAACAACAAAAGCACAAAUACAAGUAAAUAUAAGCAGUAGCAGGGACCAGGGAUAAACAUCCGAAUACAUAACGAGACAAAUAUCAGUCAUGUGGGUCAUCAGGGACUGCAAAAGUAAAAUAAACUACUAUUACCCCCGUUUAUGGUCAUAUCGUUAACAAGACAAAUUAACCAGAGCAAAGGAAACAGUAGUCUCCACACAGGUGAUCGAAAUGACAGCC